Molecule: long non-coding RNA, 888 nt
Organism: Aphis gossypii (cotton aphid)
Lineage: Eukaryota; Metazoa; Arthropoda; Insecta; Hemiptera; Aphididae
Exons: 2
Source: RefSeq, a predicted model, not a curated record
CUAAGAAUAUAAGUAAUAUAACAUAUUAGACUAUUAGACUAUAGAGUAAUACUCUUAUGCUAUAUGACGACGCCCUGGUGUUAAUACAUACUUAAGCACAAUUUUGUUUUACUUCAGUUAAAAUAAUUAUUACAUUUAUUACGUUCCUAUUUUAUUUUUUCUUUAAAAUUGUUCUUUUUAAGUGCCAUCAUCCAUCACCAUGUUCAAACUAUUUGAUCUACAAAAACCUAGAUGGGUGUUAAUAGAGUUCUUGUACACGGGUUACAAUAAUAUAUUAACUAUAUACUAUACAAUAUCAUUUUAAUAUUACACCAUAGCUAUUUAUUAUUUGACGAUUACAUUAGAUUUCCAGCGAAUGUGGAACAGAGGCGCUUGUGGGUUUAUUCACUGAGGACCUAUCUGAGGACAAUGGUAUAAAUGCACAACAGAUUUAGGCCACCUCAAAGACAACUUUGAACUUUGAGUUUCAGACAUUUUGUUAAUAGUCAUGACUACAGCAGCGGAACACAUUUUCACCAUCUGUUCCCUAGACCAUUACCGUCUUUGGUUAGACGUUAGCUAGGUCAGAAACCGAGUGUUCACUGUUAACAGACAACUAUAUCACAGAAUUGUAAUGAUGUUGUCAGAAAUGAACUGAUGCAACCUAGAUACUGUGAGUUGUAUUAUAUCAAAUCUGGGACAGCCAACCAUUUGGAUAAUAGUUUGGAUGACACAGCAGCCAUGCCAACGCCCACUAUUGAAGAAUUUAAUAGCAGACUUAGAUAGUCUAUUACAGAAAAUUAAUCCAUUCACCAUACCUUUUGAGUUAUUAAUCAAUAUAUAUAUAUUUAACAAAACACACACUAUAUACACGUUAUAUCUAUUAAAAAAAAUCCUAUUUUAUUUAAA